RNAcentral lists this transfer RNA (60 nucleotides) under Fredericella indica. Its description in RNAcentral is "tRNA-Trp". Lineage: Eukaryota; Metazoa; Bryozoa; Phylactolaemata; Fredericellidae. The record is from RNAcentral.
GAGUUAGGUUAAAGAAACCGUUAGCCUUCAAAGCUGAUAUUGGGGUACACCCACUCAUUA